GUCAUUCACAAGUGGCUCCAGUCUGGUUUGGGGGUCUACCCUUUCUCAUCAUGUCCUGCCACCCAAUAAAGCCAUUCACAAGUGGCUCCAGCCUGGUUUGGGGGUCUAGCCUUUCUCAUCCUGUCCUGCCACCCAAUAAAGCCAUUCACAAGUGGCUCCAGCCUGGUUUGGGGGUCUAGCCUUUCUCAUCCUGUCCUGCCACCCAAUAAA
Molecule: long non-coding RNA, 210 nt
Organism: Sardina pilchardus (European sardine)
Lineage: Eukaryota; Metazoa; Chordata; Actinopteri; Clupeiformes; Clupeidae
Exons: 3
Source: RefSeq, a predicted model, not a curated record